CCUACGGGUGGCUGCAGUGGGGAAUAUUGCACAAUGGGGGAAACCCUGAUGCAGCGAAGCCGCGUGAAGGAAGAAGUAUUUCGGUAUGUAAACUUCUAUCAGCAGGGAAGAAAAUGACGGUACCUGACUAAGAAGCCCCGGCUAACUACGUGCCAACCACCGCGGGAAUACGUAGGGGGCAAGCGUUAUCCGGAUUUACUGGGUGUAAAGGGAGCGUAGGCGGCGAUGCAAGUCAGCAGUGAAAGCCCGGGGCUCAACUCCCGGACUGCUUUUGAAACUGUGUUGCUAGAUUGCAGGAGAGGUAAGUGGAAUGCCUGGUGUAGCGGUGAAAUGCGUAGAUAUUAGGAAGAACACCAGUGGCGAAGGCAGCUUACUGGACUGUAAAUGACGCUGAGGCUCGAAAGCGUGGGGAGCAAACAGGAUUAGAUACCCGAGUAGUC
RNAcentral lists this ribosomal RNA (440 nucleotides) under uncultured bacterium. RNAcentral's name for it is "partial 16S ribosomal RNA". It matches the Rfam family "Bacterial small subunit ribosomal RNA", at positions 338 to 795 of the family's 1533-position model. The record is from RNAcentral.